CAGUCGGACGAUGAUGCCCCUUCGGGGGUGGAUUAGUGGCGAACGGGUGAGUAACACGUGAGCAACCUGCCCUUGACUCUGGGAUAAGCCUGGGAAGCUGGGUCUAAUACCGGAUAGUACUCCCUGCCGCAUGGUGGGGGGUGGAAAGCCUUGUGCGGUCUUGGAUGGGCUCGCGGCCUAUCAGCUUGUUGGUGGGGUGAUGGCCUACCAAGGCGACGACGGGUAGCCGGCCUGAGAGGGUGACCGGCCACACUGGGACUGAGACACGGCCCAGACUCCUACGGGAGGCAGCAGUGGGGAAUAUUGCACAAUGGGCGGAAGCCUGAUGCAGCGACGCCGCGUGGGGGAUGACGGCCUUCGGGUUGUAAACCCCUUUCGGCAGGGAACAAGUCCUUCGGGGUGAGGGUACCUGCGGAAGAAGCGCCGGCUAACUACGUGCCAGCAGCCGCGGUAAUACGUAGGGCGCGAGCGUUAUCCGGAAUUAUUGGGCGUAAAGAGCUCGUAGGCGGUUUGUCGCGUCUGCUGUGAAAGCCCGGGGCUCAACCCCGGGUCUGCAGUGGGUACGGGCAGGCUGGAGUGCAGUAGGGGAGACUGGAAUUCCUGGUGUAGCGGUGAAAUGCGCAGAUAUCAGGAGGAACACCGAUGGCGAAGGCAGGUCUCUGGGCUGUAACUGACGCUGAGGAGCGAAAGCAUGGGGAGCGAACAGGAUUAGAUACCCUGGUAGUCCAUGCCGUAAACGUUGGGCACUAGGUGUGGGGGCCAUUCCACGGUUUCCGCGCCGCAGCUAACGCAUUAAGUGCCCCGCCUGGGGAGUACGGCCGCAAGGCUAAAACUCAAAGGAAUUGACGGGGGCCCGCACAAGCGGCGGAGCAUGCGGAUUAAUUCGAUGCAACGCGAAGAACCUUACCAAGGCUUGACAUGUGCCGGACCGUCCCAGAGAUGGGGCUUCCCUUCGGGGCCGGUUCACAGGUGGUGCAUGGUUGUCGUCAGCUCGUGUCGUGAGAUGUUGGGUUAAGUCCCGCAACGAGCGCAACCCUCGUUCCAUGUUGCCAGCACUUGAAGGUGGGGACUCAUGGGAGACUGCCGGGGUCAACUCGGAGGAAGGUGGGGACGACGUCAAAUCAUCAUGCCCCUUAUGUCUUGGGCUUCACGCAUGCUACAAUGGCCGGUACAAAGGGUUGCGAUACUGUGAGGUGGAGCCAAUCCCAGAAAGCCGGUCUCAGUUCGGAUUGGGGUCUGCAACUCGACCCCAUGAAGUCGGAGUCGCUAGUAAUCGCAGAUCAGCAACGCUGCGGUGAAUACGUUCCCGGGCCUUGUACACACCGCCCGUCAAGUCACGAAAGUCGGUAACACCCGAAGCCGGUGGCCCAACCCCUCUGUGGGAGGGAGCCGUCGAAGGUGGGACUGGCGAU
This 1412-nucleotide ribosomal RNA is filed under the name Sinomonas sp. RNAcentral describes it as "bacterial SSU rRNA". It matches the Rfam family "Bacterial small subunit ribosomal RNA". Lineage: Bacteria; Bacillati; Actinomycetota; Actinomycetes; Micrococcales; Micrococcaceae. The record is from RNAcentral.